Cercocebus atys (sooty mangabey) is the source of this 11641-nucleotide long non-coding RNA. RefSeq lists it as uncharacterized. The record is from RefSeq and is a predicted model, not a curated record. Lineage: Eukaryota; Metazoa; Chordata; Mammalia; Primates; Cercopithecidae. The transcript has 4 exons.
CCUCAAGUGAUUGGCCAGCCUCGGCCUCCCAAAAUGCUGGGUUUACAAGGCAUGAGCCACCAUGCCCGGUCAAAAGGUAAGUUUUAUAAAGACAGCUCACUUUCUUCCCCUUUAAAUAAUUCAAGCCAGUUCCGUACACUUUUACAAAAUGUUGCUUAGUCACUUAAAUAUUUACUUUUUCAGAUGACACUGUUACAACUCUGCAAUAAAAAUAAUUUCAUAGGUAAGGGUCUGCUCUGAGCCCUCAAGUAUUUCCAUAUUCUGAUACUUUGUAGGCGGAAGAAAAAAAGCUGCUACCCCAAAAGAUACACCAAAAAGGAACAACCGCACACAGUGACAAUAAGGACAUGUUUCCUGGAUGCCAGAACUAAGCCACAUCACCGCUAGCCCCAGAUAAUACUUUUCCAGCAGUCUGUAAUCACAGAUUUAUUCUAAUGAACUAACCACUUUUGGGUCACCAAAGAUGAGCCAGGCCGGUCCUGGGAGUGUCUAGCAAGCAUCAUUUAAAGUCAUAAUGAUGAAAACUGAAAUCUUGCUUAUUUUAGCUCCUUGCCACUGGGCUGUCCAAAUGGCACUGAGUUGACACAGCAGUUAAAUUCAACCUCAAAGCAGCAAGAAAGCAGGCACUUCACUGUCCUGUUGGGCAGAGCCAGGCAGGGGCCUGUGGAGAGCACCGUUUUACUUGGGCCUUUCCAACCAGCCCUUAACAUUCAUUUGUGCUAUCGAAAAAAGGAAGGAAAGGAACCAAAAUUAAGUUUCAGGUGGUUGGGGAAGUAGCAUGGAUUUAUAUUAUUAUUAUUAUUACUCUGGAAUAGUUAGCAAGUGUUUCUCAAUAGUUCCCUGUUCAUCAAUACUGUUUUCUGGAGAAAAGGAAAACACUAGCUCUAGUUCAUAGAAAGUACAGCCACUCAAAAAAAAAAAAAAAAGUGAGAAGGGGGGUUGAGAAAGGGAAGUGACCCACGUCAAAAAGACAGAAGGUCUCCAAGUCACUUAAUUCCUUGUGAUUCUGAAAGGGCUGUUUUUAAAGUGUAAAAGUGCUCGCUUCUGCAUCUGCUCCAUGUUCUUAAAUAACACUUGUGUAAUUAAAUAAAAGAGCCAAGUGUGACUCCAGCCCACUCUGAGAGGCACUUUACAUGCUUUCUGAAAACUAUGCUGGAAACGCCAUGCAGACAACUCCUCAGUCCUGUAAUUUAGGAAAGGGAGACAGAAAAAGCUUCUUUGGGCCAUCAUAGCUACACACUCUCUGAAAGGGUGCCUGCAAUGAACGCAAAUACAGGUGUGCAAACAUCCAGGUAUGUACCUCUCUCCAAAGACCCCAUUCUUGAAACCCUUCAAUUAUUUGGAACCGUGGUCUCCUGACUUCCCUCACACCUCACUUUUGCCUUAAUUGUUUUUAAUGUUUGAGUAGCAAGAGGGAUUCCAAAUCUCAGGGUGCCAGUGGCUGUUCUGAUAACAAGGAGCAGACUCACGUUCCUUGCUAUGGCCUGUCUCGAUCAGGUUACCUUGAAAGGUGUAUGUUUUCCUACCCAAGGCAGUCCUCACCACAGCACUCACACGUUCUCCUCCAGCCCAGCCUCCUGGAACUCGUGAUUUUCAGGGUUUCCCUUGAAACCUAUCCAGAAACCACAGCCGUUAACUGAACAUGAAGAUUUGACACCUCCUGAAUUUAGGAAUGAGGGGACUCAAGGGGCCAACUCUGCAAACUCGCACCUGCUGCUUGAUGGCAAUGAAACAGAGUUUCCCCAGCUAGGGUGAGCUUUAAAUUAUACUCUAUUUAUUUAGUGACUUGUCUCCAAGGAUCUCAAAGCAUAGAGAGAAAUAAGAUGACGUGUAACUUUCUCACAAUAUACCUUCAAGGCUUUGCCCUGGUACAUUCCGACAAGAAGGCCCCAGUCUGAAGGAGAGGCCUUCCCUUUGUGCUCAGGCAGGGCCAUCUGUCCUCUCUGGGGUUAUCUGUCAGUGGCUUUUUGGGAGUCUUCAAGGCCUGUUAAAUGAUACAAAUAGAGGGCGGGGGGAGGGACGACCCUCCUGGAUUCACCUGCUCACGGCUUUCACUUAAGCCAGUUGAACACAUGAGGUGCCACUGUGGCACACAAUUCCCUCUUAGUACACACCAUGCAUUGAGCUGCAGGCUUUGCCCUCCAGGCCUUUUCCUAUCAUAACACAGGUGUGUCCAAGGCAGAAAAGACUAUUUUCCAGAAGGUUCGUUUCCCUCCAAGCCUACAAUGCUGCUUUUUGUUGAUACUGUUUUUCUGCUACUGACCUAAACAUAGGCAUUCCUCCUCCUUUAACAGGAUAAAAAUCUUGACUCUCUCCUUUGCAUCAGCUCCCCAUCCCGCCCUGGCCCAAGGAAAUGAAUGCUCUGACUUUUCCAAGAGUGCAAAAAAACUAAAAUUAGAGGGUGGACAAGAUGCUCUCCAAAGGUGCCCUCCAGAUCCAAAACUCUGAUUCUCCCUUUAAUUACUCCGCAAGUGCAUUCUUCACAUUGUUUCGAACUGACCAGUGACUUCUCCAGGGCUGAAAAGCGUGCAUUUUUAGGCGGAGGCACCCAAACUUCUAAAUGACACCAGUACCACAAGCAUUCAGAAGGCAGGAACUAAUCCAAAAGCAGACUCAGGAAAGGAGAAGGGAGGGGAGGACAGAGGGAAGGGAAGGAAGGAGGAAGAGCUUUACUGUGUGCCCAGUGGAAUUUAGGCGCUCUCACCCUAGGUAGGUGGCAACUGGAGUCUGGGAGUUCAAGUGCAUCCAGCCUUCCCUUCCCCCACACGCCCCAAGAGAAUGGGAAGUUCAGCCAAGACUCGCAGCACCUGCCCGCGGCUCCAGGCCGGCUGCGCGGACCCGGAGGGAGGCUGCACUCACCUGGCACACCAAGCCUCCACGCACCUCCGGAGGGAGGCGGCACUUGCAGGUCCGGGGGCCGCGCCGCCAUGCACAACAACGGGAAAUUCCAGUGGCACCCGAGCCCCGAGCUCACCCACCCCAGGAGGCAUGCUCCCCACCUCCCGCUGGCCCCGGGACUCGGAGGUGGCUCUGAGUUAAGGAUAGUUUUUGAGGCCAGAGAAAGAGAAAAGAAGGAGAGAUCACCAGAAAGAGAGGAAGAGAAGAAGUGGGAAGAGAAGGAGCUGCAGUCUACAAUGGAAGCCUCCAGGCUCCUUAGCCUCACCUUAUAAAGCCACAUCACCGCAGAGAUAGCAAAGAUCGUGCCCUUUCCCAGGGAGUCUCUACCGCCAGGGUAAGAUUUAAACCGGCCACCCCAGUUGGUCAAAGCGAUUGCUGGGCGCCUUUCUAUCUCCCUAAGUUCACCUUUUCCAGUUGGUCAGUGCGAUUGCUGGGUACUUUUCUAUCUCCCCAAGUUCACCUUUUUCCAUUCUGAUCUGCAAGCUAGCCCCAAAGAAAUCUCACCGGAAGUUCUCUGUCCUCCCUGUCACAAUCCCACCCUCAGUCUGAAUUUACUCCCGAUUCUCACAGCACAGAAAGGCACCUGCUUUUACCCUUUCUGAAAACCACCCACCCAGGCUGGCCUUACAGCCUGGAGAGUCUUUUCCUCGGGCACAAUAAUGAACCAUGCAAGUGUCAGAAAUAUAAUCAGCUCAAGAGGAGAAGAGCAGUAUGUAUGGAAUUGUAUUAGCAUGAGGCACACACUGACUCGGGAGAAAGAGGGAUGCUUAGCUGGUGAAAACCAUCCAUCCCCGUAUAGAAGGCUUUCUGCACAAUGUAAUUUGGGUUCCGAUUAAUGUAAGUAUCUAACCUGUUGGGUACAGAGAGCCCUUCUCUACAUUUUAGUCCAGAAUAGAUUCUGGGAAAAUUUCCUUUUUUCUUUUUUUCAGCUAAGACCCUGGGAGAAAAGACUGCCUCCAGGGAAUCAUGUCCGAUUAGGGACAAAGGAGGGCACAAGCCCAAUUCAGUCACACUGACUAUGAAUAAGACAUGAAGAUGAUGUAUGCUAGCAGGACCGCAAGCAACGUGGCCCACAACGCAGAGAUGCCUCUGGCAAUCUCUUCAGGAAAACGAAGAUUCCUCACCUAGGAUGGGGGACAACCUCGUAAUCUGAUGACAUCAUGAUCCUGGUAGGCCCACAGACAAAUACCUCCAAUAAAAUAAAAGCGAGAAAGCCCAAAGAACGAGCUAUUAAAGUAACCUGGGAGGAUGCAGCAGUGCCUGGGCAGAAGGCCCGGAGGGGAUUUGCCCUAAUACUGCCACUAUCCCAAGAAGCAGACCCUGAGACCUGCCUCCUGCACUUCAGAGGCCUAACAAGUAGAACUGAGAGUGACCCUCAGUUCCUUUUCUUUAUCUGGCACCAGCUACACACAAGAUGAGGCCUAGUCAAGCCUGCCUUUGUUCUAGGCAAAAAUUUAACAGGUAAUCCACAGGCCAGUGAUCUAUGGCCUCUGUACAUUAUGGAAAUGAGGGACUACACACAAGCUGGGUGUCACCUCUACUAAAACUCAUUUUCCUUAUUCAUAAAAACAAUACCUCUUCAGAGGGAACUGGCAACUUCUGCACUUACAUACGAAAUCGGGAGUUUCUCUGAAAUACUCCUUGCAAAUUCUAUCCUCCAGCUCUGGAAGCCCCGGCUCUUCGAAGGGCAGCUGCCUGAUGUUAAACCCACGGCCUACCCAGCAGUGACAGCCUGACAUUCUCAUCGCUCCAUCCUGAACACUGCUGACAAAUAAACCCACUCUCAGAAAAGGCAAUUCUUCCCUCGCAGUUCUCCAUACCCAGUCUCGUCUCAUCUGGAAAGCGUAAUUGGCAACAGCCGAAAGGAUAAAUAUUUAAAAAUAAAUCAGGAAGCUCUAACCCCUUCCCUACUCCUCCCCUUACUCACUCUCCAAGCCAGAGGCCUGCCCCCUAACACUGAGCUGGCUGGUAAAUUACAAUGAUUCUACCGAGCCAAACCUGCUUGUCUCUCUCUCUCUCUCUACACAUACACACUUACUAAUGCUGUAUCCUUCCACUUUUGCAAAGGUAAAUAUGAUCUCUAAGAUACAGUGGAUAUCAGCAUUCUGACUUCCAGCUUAACCCGGGCUCUCUUUUCACAGUCCAGCUGGGUUUAAACAGAUUUGUGCACCCUUCCGGGUUCUUCUAUUUUUAUUAAAUUAUAUGUAGACAUUGAUUUUUAAAACAAGUGCUUAAAUAACCUGGAGGCUUUAACAAAGAAAAAUCCAGAAGAGGGCAAGAAAUAAAAACAAACGUUCCUGAAAUAAACAAGGAACCAUUUGGAGCUGAAUUGCGCUCCAUGGCCUGAGUUCACCCCAUGAUUUUGAGGCAGUUAUAUUUAGGGGCCUGGUACCCGCUGGGUGGCCGGGCCUUCCUGGGUAUGGAACAGAAUGCAGACCUUCCUCAGAACAGCUCACAUUUGCCUUCAUAACCAUUGGAAGCUGGUGUGCCAAGGCCUGCACACAGAUGUUUUGAUUCACAUUUUUCUGCUGAAGCCUCAAGGCCUCCAUCCAUCCCUACAGUGCUAAUUCCAUAGAUUAAUUUUUACCCCCAAAUCAUAGGUGGAACAUUAUCUAAUUUCCUUACCCACCCUCCCCAGCUCAGGUGCUAAAUCUGUCAAUGAUAUCCCACAAGAAAGACACAAAUGAGUAACUAUUUUUUAAAAGCUGUGAUUCGGGAGAGUUUUUCUAAAUUAAUUUUAAGUUACAAAGCCCCAAGUUUGAAAGAAGCCAAAAUAAAGAAGUUGCCUUAAAACAGCUUUACAUGUUGCGUAAAGCGCUCUCUCUUUCUCGCUCCUUCUUUUUUAAACAAAAAUAUUAUUUCUGAAAGGGCAAAGGGAAUGUGCCAUGCAAGACUUUUAUACCCAGGGGGAUUCUUACAUUUGUGUUUCUAAACCUUGAAAUUGAGAAUUUUAAUGAAAAGGCGGACAGAUGCUUAAGGACAGCAUCGCAAUCUGGGUCCAUACAUUACAAGAGAGAGAGGCGCUUUGUUUGGGGCCAAGGAAAAAGAGGUGGGACUCCUAUUUUGUUCAUAGGCCAUCCCCACCGUCUGACACAUCCCUUUACAGUCAGUCUGAUGCUAACCACUGAAUUCUUGGAGGGGAAGCAGGUUGGAAGGAGAAGAAAGGAAAAGGGAAACAGAAGAGGUAAAGAAAUGGGUGAGGGGAUACUGCCUGUUUAUAUAAAUUGUAGAUUUAAAAAAAAAAAAUUCUCAACGCAGUAUCCAUUGCAUAGUAUGCACCAAGAGCACUUUCACACAUGAGUUAAAACGAUCCAUUAAAUGCUAUAUCGAAAGUACAACAACCAGGGUUGGAGUUUUUUGGUUUUUUAAAUGAAGAAUUCAUUGAGGUUUGCAGUUCUCCCCUAUUAAGUUUCUAAGGAUGGGGCACAAGACACGAAGAUAGACAAAAGAUGACCUUUUUCAUGCUUUCCCCCAAAUAAUUCUAGAAUCCUAUUUUCUUAUCUUUUCACUUUAGGGCAUUUGGGUUCAAAAAUCUGUGCUAAUCUGACUUCAGAGCCCCCGAGCUGAAAAAUUCACAUAUCCUCCAAGUCAGCCAGUGUUUUAGAAUUUGGAUUUCUAUUGAGGCUGUUCCAAUCGCCAGUGAGGCCUACGGUAAAAACGUGCUUCAUGCUGUUUCGUUUGUCUCUCUGCAGACAAAUAGAAACUGUGAAAUUUAAAGAAUGGAUGAAAAAAAGAAGUCUAAAACAAAGAGGUUAAAAAAAUAGGACAAAUGUUUUUGCUUUUCUGUCUCCCCGGAGCAAUUGUUUGGGGAAGUCUGCAUUGACAAUAACCAUGAGAAGGCCAUCUAAAGGCGAUGCGCACACAAGGGGACUCCUUGCCUGCUGCCUUUGGUCUGGGAGAAAAAGUACCUUAGCUCCGUUCUCCAGAAACAAAAGGCCAGGGCCACGGAAAGGGGGAGAGGUGACAGGGGCUUUCACAUGGAGCCAAGUGUCAAUGCUGGUUCAUUUUUCACCCGUCUUAGUUGGAAAGCAGCUCAGGGAACUUCCUAAUGACUGCUUUUCCCUCUCUCCCUAUUAUUUCUAAACCUAAAAGAACAAAACAAUAAUAUUUUUUUUAACCUAAAACCCAUCAUUCUAUUAGAGGAAAGCCUUUGGGGCCUAUGCAGUCAGAUUUUCCUCUUUCCUUUCCUCAUCCUACUUUUUUUUUGCCUUUUUGGAGGGGUUUCCAACUGUAGAUCACAUGGAAAUAAGAGACACUGGACAUUAUAGUCAUUUUUAGUAACACCAGAACGGCCUUUAUAUCUACGAAAAGGCAGGAAACGGGGAGAAAACACACAUGUACAAAAAACCCAACAGGGAUAGAAGGCAGUGGUGGGGAGGCUGCGGGGGCAAGGCCUUGAAACACUUUCUUUUUUUCACAGCAUGAAGUCCACUAAUGCCAGCUUCACAUUUGCAACUGAAUCAAAGUCUCUGAGUCGUCAUUACAAGGUUUUUCGGUGGGUGGGGGCAUGGAGAAGUGGACAAUAAGGAUGUAUUAAAGACACAGACAAGGUGUGGCAGGGGCAAAGUGGGGGGAGGUGUUACAAAGAAAGGAAGCUGAGAUGAAUCACCGCGUGCCAUGAAAAUACCAGGGCGAGUGGAUGUCGGAGUGUUUAACCAGAUUUGAAGCUGGAAGCAUCUUCCCCAGCGGGCAAACCCUAGGACGAGGCACAGCCACGCGACCCUCAGCCUUUGAACCCAGACCUGGCAGCUUAGGAGCACACUCCCUCUUCCCCAGGCAGCCACAGGCUCUGAGCUGAAAGGCAAGGUGGGGGUAGGGAUGAGAGGGCCCUGCAAAGAAGAAGCACAAUCAACAACUCAAAUAUGAACGGAAAUGACGUCAGCAAAGUGAAGGACCUGUUUACUGCAGAUCAAAACAAAACAAACUUCCAAACCUUUUGUGUACACAAGAGAACUCUAUAAAAAGCCUUCCUAAAAUGUUACCAGGGUCGACACAUCGGCAUCCUCACAAGAAAACGCAUGACAGUUACCAUGGGGGGAGGGGGGAGGAAAGGGACUGAAGGGAAGAUGAUCUGGGGGGCUGGGGAGAGGAGGGAUAAAGCCAGAAGGAGCCAAAAACCCAGUUGCUACUGCCCCCUCUGCUGAUCCUUAAUAUUUAUUGGUGUUUAUAAUCUAAAAGCCAUGCUCCACGUUUCACUUAAUACAAGGCCAGACAGUGUUGUCUAAUGAGGCAGCAUUACAAUCAGCUUGUAAUACUGAAUUUUUAAUGCUGCCAAGGAUUCUGUUACAUAAUAAUAUGAAAAACAGAAGCUGAAAGUGGGCUCGCAGGGGACGGGACAUUCGAGGUUCCAGGCAGGCCAGCGCCACCAGCCCGGCUCCCCUCCCCCACACCCGCCCCCCUACUUUCUGACGUGCAAUCAACCCUCCAUCCCGAUACAGGAGGUCGGUGUGGAGACCAGGAAGAUUUUUCUUAGGAAAUCCACACUUUUCAUUAUUAUUGUUAUUAUACUCUCAUCCGAAGUUAUAGCUCAAGAGUUUGAAUUCUAGCUUCUCUGGGGUUAGAGGUCUAAAAUGAAAAUUAAUUUUUUUGGAAGAGGGGGCAAAGAGACAAUACAGGGGAGGAGAGGGGUAGCUUAUUUUAAGUAAACCAAGAAAUUUGAGAGAAAAAUCACAGAGAGAGAAAGAUCUUGGGGGGGGUGGGGAGGGGAUAGACGUCUGCCGACCAUAUUCACAGCUGCCGCACUCAGUUUACAUUGGUGUAAUUUAAAAGCAUAUAUAUAGACGCCGUUGCUCCUCUCUGUAAUACCCCAACACUGUAAAUCUAUAACCACUGCAAUGAUUUAGUGAUUAAAAACAUGAUAACAUAUUGUGUAACUGCAAACCACAGAAACCCUGCCAACUCUCUCUCUAAGAUAAAGGGGAAAAAAAUACAGAAAAUGUGUUGCUUGCAGCCAUCUUCCUAAACCCCAAAAGAUUUUAAUAAAAGAACCUAUACAGCAGAUGAAUUGGAAAGGGGUGAGUGAAUUCUGUGUGAAGCCAGCAAAGGGAGAAAAAAAAAAAAAAGGCAGCUUUAUGUGGGAUUCUUUUCCUUGUACUAACAAAUUACGACCUAAACAUGCCUUUUCUUUUCUCUCUCUCUCUCUUUUUAAAUAGUUUGUUGUAACUGGAAUAACUGGUCUUGUGCACUGUCUUGCAUAUUCAAAGCUGCUUUGUAACCGGAUCUAGAGACCCAACCUUAUUUGCCUGAACUCAAUAGGGGUUUUUUCUCCCCCUCCUCCCAAGUUUUGUUUUGGAUUCGGUAUUGUGGGUUUUCUGUUGUUGCUGGGAGCCUAUGUCUAUGCAGGCAGAGGCUCUGCUGCCUUUAAGCCACAGACCAAACACCUGAAAGGGGAGGCACAAUUUGUAGAAUGGCAGGAGGAGCCUAAAAUAUACACCAAAAAAUAAAAUCAAAGCAGCUGUAGGGGUUUUGGCCUCUGAGCAGCUGACCUGACCCCGUUCUGUAUAUUCUUUUAUUUCCCCAUUGCAGGAUUCCUGCACCUUGGGUCAGAUUCAAACUCAAUGUGACCCUGAGGAGAAGGCAGUCACAGAGCCCUGGAAAGCUGCUCCAUAUUUAACAGGGGUGGGGGAAGUACGUGCAUAUGCAUCCAGACUCCCCCAGUGAAGGCACACGGUGCAGGCGUACACACGCACGCACACGCACAAACACACACACACACACACACACACACGUCAGGACUGCCAGGCCAAGGGGCCAGCUCCACCCCAGUUUCCUUGGGUCACACCACUGGAGAGCCUGAACUCUCCUUGCGGGCCCCCAAAAUCCUCAUACCUACAACUCUACACACACACACACACACACACACACACACACACACGCAGAGACCACCACUCCUCCAGAGGCUUUAUAUGUUUAAAAAGUCCACAGAUCUGAAUCGCCUCCUCUCUGGACCGGAGCAGGGCAGUUUAUUCAGAGAAAUCAAUAGGAAAGAGCAUUUGCAAAUAUUUAUAUAAGCCCUGUGCGUUUCAGCAUUAAGUAAUUAAAAACUAAAAUCCAAGGAGGGGGAAGGGAGACACACAGACAGAGGAAGGCUGCUGGCCUAGAGUGGGUUUUCCUGCCCACACCUCAUCUUCCCAAACCGCAAUCCUUUCAAAACUGACUCCGUGUACACUUUUUACGAAAUCCUCUUCGUGCACCAUUUGCUAGACUAUUUCAAAAUCAUCUCCAAAUAUGGAUUCACCUACCACCAAGCUUUCAAGACUGUGUCUGUAUUCUUUCUCUUCUCAUACACACACAGCAACUCAUAUUUUGACACUGCUUCAAUCUCUAGUAUAUUCUUUUAUUUUCCUAUCUCUAAUUUACCUGCUCCAAUUAAAAAAAAACAAAAAACAAAAACCUAACAUUGUAAGAUGAGAAGAGGGCCCCCAAAGUGCUCAUUCAACAAGCAAACUCCCACCCCCUAGGUCUCCUGAAUACCCCCCACUUCCCUGAACCCACAGGAUGUCUACCCUUUGGGGGUUCAGUUCCUGAAACCCCCACAAGUAAACAGAUUUGGAAAAAAAAAAAAAAAACUUCAGCAAAAUGGGAGUUUUAGAAUGAGCCACUGUGGAGUGGACUUCCCUAUACUGUUCCGGAGGGCUGGGCAGUAAAUUCUGGUUGUUCUGCCUCUAAAUCCUCCCUAAGAAACCAAGCAAGACGCUGGAGCACCCACGCUGCAGAUAGGGUAGAAAUUUACAGUAAAUGUAGGUACACGAUUGCAGCACGCUGCCCUAUUGAUUAUGCAGAUUGUGAUCAAUCUUCUCCCCUCGCCCAUUGCCCAAGCCUCUUUCGAAGGACCUCCAAAUAAGUUGGUCUGCAACUAGCUAUUCUCCCAAAGUAGGGAGAAAAAAAGUAAUUUUUUAAAAAACAUAAUAAAUCCUCAAUUGUCCCCACUGAAAGGGCUCGAGUCUUUUUUAAAUUCCAAAGUGAAUUUAUGUUCUGUAAUUUGCAUUACAGCCAAGCGAUCACCGUCUGUCAUAUUCUUCAAAGGUACUUAACAAACUGCCUUUUAAAAGUCACUAGAACUGGAGGCCAGAAAAAGGCAAUCAGCAUGCUCCGUCCAUACAGUGCUUAGAUCAAGUUUCAAUAAUUGAGACCAAUAAAAAUUGUCAUAUUUACCCUACUUGAAAGCAACAAGGGGGAAAAGUUAAGACUGGGUGCCUUUUGAAAGCGCUUGUAAUCAAAGAAUUUGCCACAGUCGAAAGAAUAGCACAACAUUGGACAAAAGUCAGAUUCUAAGCAACAGCUUCAUUCGUAAAGUGAUAUAUAUACAUAAUUUAAUUCAAGUUAUACAAGAACCCUCCGAGUACUGAGUCCAUACACAAUUAUAUACACUGCAUGAAAUACACUUAGAUCUACUCUCCAAUAGAUAUGCAAAAAGAUGUACAUUAAAAUGCAUAAUGUAAAAUUCAGGAACACGGUUUUUGCAUCGAGUGGAGCCGGGCGAGGGGUGAGAGUGGGGAACCGAACGUAAACAAUCCCAGAUUCGCGAGAGCAAAAAAAAAGAAGAAAGAAAAGAAAAAGAAAAAAGGCAUCCUCGGAUGUCUCGGAGCUCAGCUGGCGGAGGAAGGCCGGCCAGGCGAGGUCUGGCCCUGGCCAGCGGCGCAGCCCGGAGCCCCCGGGAGCCCCUAGUGUCCAGGGCAGAGUCCCCUCUGGGCGCUCGCGGCGCUGCCAGUCGGGCAGGGCGGAGAGCGCGCAGGUAGAGGAU